UACGUAGGGGGCGAGCGUUGUCCGGAUUUAUUGGGCGUAAAGGGAACGCAGGCGGUUUUUUAAGUCUGAUGUGAAAGCCUUCGGCUUAAUCGAAGUAGUGCAUUGGAAACUAGAAGACUUGAGUGCAGAAGAGGAGAGUGGAACUCCAUGUGUAGCGGUGAAAUGCGUAGAUAUAUGGAAGAACACCAGUGGCGAAAGCGGCUCUCUGGUCUGUAACUGACGCUGAGGUUCGAAAGCGUGGGGAGCAAACAGG
This 253-nucleotide ribosomal RNA is filed under the name uncultured bacterium. RNAcentral describes it as "partial 16S ribosomal RNA". It matches the Rfam family "Bacterial small subunit ribosomal RNA", at positions 524 to 776 of the family's 1533-position model. The record is from RNAcentral.